This 373-nucleotide long non-coding RNA is filed under the name Brassica napus (rape). Its description in RNAcentral is "long non-coding RNA (BNAP_LNC001349)". Lineage: Eukaryota; Viridiplantae; Streptophyta; Magnoliopsida; Brassicales; Brassicaceae. The record is from RNAcentral.
CCACAGAAAUUAAGAAAUAAAAAGAUAUUACUGGUCGAUUGAUAAUCGAUCUGAUCCUACUAUAUAAAAGGAGCUAAUUUUAAGGUUUCUUAGGAAUGCCACAUAGGAUAAAAUAUUCUCUACCAAUCAAACUACCACGUCAUCGCGAAUGUUUAGAUGAUGGGUCUCAAACCAUCCAAACCCAUCAAAAUAGCCAGUCCAUUGUAUAACUUAUAGCUUCCUAUUCUUUAGCCUACUUGCCUCAGACGUCUCCAGCGACUCCAAAUCUGUUAGUCUACCCAACUUCACCGGCGUAACUCCUACGACUACAACAAUGGCACUUCAAUGCUCUAUUAUAACUCAUCAAGUGAAGACUCUUUGUACCUCUCCACAC